Molecule: ribosomal RNA, 604 nt
Filed under: uncultured marine archaeon
Lineage: Archaea
Description: bacterial SSU rRNA
Rfam family: Archaeal small subunit ribosomal RNA
Source: RNAcentral
GCCCUGACUGCUAUCGGAUUGAUACUAAGCCAUGCGAGUCAUUGUAGUAAUACAAGGCAGACGGCUCAGUAACGCGUAGUCACCUAACCUAUGGACGGGAAUAACCUCGGGAAACUGAGUAUAAUGCCCGAUAGAACAUUAUGCCUGGAAUGGCUUAUGUUCCAAAUGAUUUAUCGCCGUAGGAUGGGACUGCGGCCUAUCAGUUUGUUGGUGAGGUAAUGGCCCACCAAGACUAUUACAGGUACGGGCUCUGAGAGGAGUAGCCCGGAGAUGGGUACUGAGACACGGACCCAGGCCCUAUGGGGCGCAGCAGGCGAGAAAACUUUGCAAUGUGCGAAAGCACGACAAGGCUAAUCCGAGUGGUUUCUGCUAAAGGAACCUUUUGUCGGUCCUAGAAACACUGAUGAAUAAGGGGUGGGCAAGUUCUGGUGUCAGCCGCCGCGGUAAAGCCAGCACCUCAAGUGGUCAGGAUGAUUAUUGGGCCUAAAGCAUCCGUAGCCGGCUCUAUUAGUUUUCGGUUAAAUCUGUACGCUUAACGUACAGGCUGCCGGGAAUACUGUAGAGCUAGGGAGUGGGAGAGGUAGACGGUACUCGUAGGAAGGGG